AGAAGGUUUCCCUUCCGAGACUUCCCGGGGAGAAAAGAAAGACUCCUUUGUACAAACUCCUUACUUCAGGGUGUAGUUGCGGUAAGAACUAUUUACAGGAAAGGAAGGAAAAGAAAGGCCAUUAGGAGAAUAUUUGUGGAGGCGAAGUGGGAAGGAGCGGCCAAAUGCAGGAGGAGGAAGGAUCCUGCAAAACGUAAAAUUGGCGGGGUCCACAAUUCCGUUGUUUUCUUCAGAGGAAGCUGCGAGGAGGAUUCGUUAUUGCGGUGGGGCCCACGGUUUUGUAAAUUGAUGCCAAUGGUUUUGAUGCACGUCAGGGGAGGCUUAAUUAAUUGAAGUAGGGGCCACGUGAAUAAUCCGUCAUUUAUUUUCUCCGUGAGUGGGAAGUUUUGCAGAAAUUUUGUGGUGUCCUGUGGUUGUCGUUUAGCAGUCACGAGUCACCAUUGUAGGAUGUUUCUUGAAUACCUUGGUUUUUGGUUGGUAUUAGAACUAUCUAGAAACCAAAUUUCAUGAUUUUUUGA
Long non-coding RNA from Ananas comosus (pineapple), 518 nucleotides. RefSeq lists it as uncharacterized. NCBI's taxonomy places the organism in Eukaryota, Viridiplantae, Streptophyta, Magnoliopsida, Poales, Bromeliaceae. The transcript has 2 exons. The record is from RefSeq and is a predicted model, not a curated record.